RNAcentral lists this long non-coding RNA (985 nucleotides) under Ananas comosus (pineapple). RNAcentral describes it as "long non-coding RNA (ACOM_LNC016892)". Lineage: Eukaryota; Viridiplantae; Streptophyta; Magnoliopsida; Poales; Bromeliaceae. The record is from RNAcentral.
AGAAUUUAAAUUAUUAACUUUGUAUGUCAUAUCUGUUUAAUUAAAUUUUGAUAUCAAAAUAUUUAUCAUUUAAUAUAAGUUGUGGUGUAUAGAAUGUUAAUAUAUAUCAUGUGCAUGUAACAUUUUAAUCAAAAAAGUUAUUCAUAGAACGGUCUCUAAAACUUUUAGGGCGUGUUUGGUUCGCUUCUUUUUCACCCUGGAAUCAGAAUCGGAAUGGAUGAAUCCGUUUGUGACUGUUUGGUAUGCGGGAGUCCCAUUCCGAUUCCAAUUCCCAAGUGGAAUGGGAAAUGCCCCAGAAGUUGAAUCCGGCCGGAAUGGAUAUUUAUUCGGAUUAAAUUUAUUUUUUCAACUUUUUUUAAUUAAAAUAUGAGUUUAAAUUUACAAAUUAAAUUUAUAAUUUUAAAUUUUAAUUUGAAUUUGAAUUAAAAAUUAAAAUUUAAUCAAGUAUUUUGAAAUUAACUUAUAAAUUUGAAUUUAAAUUAAAUUUUAAUUUAUAUAAAAUUUUAUUCAAAUUUUAUUUAAAACUUAAAUUAAAUUUACGGAUUCAAAUUAAAAUUUAAAUUGUAAUUUUAUUUGAUUGAAUAAAUCAAUAAUUUUAGUUUUAUAUUUUGAAUUAUCCACUCAACUUCAAGUUUAAUUUUUUUAAAAAAAUAAAUUUAAAAUUUUGACAUUAUUUCAAAUUUUGAUCUAAAUUUUUAAUAUUAUAUUUUAAAUUUGAAUUUAAAUUAAUAUAUUAGAAAGAUAAAGUUAGUAUAUAAUUUGAUUGUUUUUAUAAUCUACCUGAACCAAACACCGACAAUGAGAAUAAUUUAUUCGAUUUCGAUUCAGAUAACAAACCAAACAGAAUUAGGCAAUGAGUCAUUCCGAUUCCGAUUCUAGCUUAUUCCGAUUCCGAUUAUGAUUCCGAUUCCGACUUCGAACCAAACGCGCCCUUAAAUCUGAUUAAAUUUUAAAUAAAAUCGUUAGAAUAAUGUAACUAUUCAAA